Molecule: ribosomal RNA, 240 nt
Filed under: uncultured bacterium
Lineage: Bacteria
Description: partial 16S ribosomal RNA
Rfam family: Bacterial small subunit ribosomal RNA
Source: RNAcentral
AGCGGCGGACGGGUGAGUAACGCGUGGGUAACCUGCCUCAUACAGGGGGAUAACAGUUAGAAAUGACUGCUAAUACCGCAUAAGACCACGGUACCGCAUGGUACAGUGGUAAAAGCUCCGGUGGUAUGAGAUGGACCCGCGUCUGAUUAGGUAGUUGGUGGGGUAACGGCCUACCAAGCCGACGAUCAGUAGCCAACCUGAGAGGGUGACCGGCCACAUUGGGACUGAGACACGGCCCAG